This 666-nucleotide unclassified non-coding RNA is filed under the name Hevea brasiliensis (rubber tree). Lineage: Eukaryota; Viridiplantae; Streptophyta; Magnoliopsida; Malpighiales; Euphorbiaceae. The record is from RNAcentral.
AAGACAUAGCUACUCAUCAUACAAAUAAAGAAAUCACUCGAAAAAGAACAAUAUAAAAUUAUGAAAACUGAGACUGCCUCUACAAGUAAUAGUUUACAAUCCCCAGUACAGGUGGAAAAAUUGGACACUGCUAUCUUUCUGCGAGUUAACUUUCUUGGUAUACCACCAAAUAAUUCCCAGCAUCAUCCUCAAUCCAACACCAGUUUAAUGUUUUGAAAACAUACCUUGUGUUAAAGAGGAGAAAUCGUACUCUUUUCCCGACUGUGAAGGAGUAGCUGAUGAUACCGACGCUGUCGAUUGAGGUUUAUUUUUUGCUAUGGGGGUCACACCAUUCGCCGGCACUGAAGAAGCUUGCCCCAGGCUAUAAAGGCUAGAUGUUGGAUAUGGAACAGAACUCCCAACUGGAUUUGCCAGCCCCCUGUUCAUUGCCUGCACAGUAGUUUGUGGCCCACCCUGGGCACCUAUUUGCAUCAUCAGUCCAGGAAUCGGGUAGGCAACAUUUGGCCAACUUUGAGGAGGAACAUUGGUACCAUUGGGGACAGAGGCUUGAGUACUGCUAAAUUUUGCGUCCCCAGCAGCUGACUUAGCUGCAGCAGCCAUGAGAAGUGAUUGUUGCUGAGCUAGCAUGGCAAGUUGCUGUUGAUGAGAAGUAUUGCUAAAUUUUGU